GAUGAACGCUGGCGGCGUGCCUAAUACAUGCAAGUCGAGCGAACGGACGAGAAGCUUGCUUCUCUGAUGUUAGCGGCGGACGGGUGAGUAACACGUGGAUAACCUACCUAUAAGACUGGGAUAACUUCGGGAAACCGGAGCUAAUACCGGAUAAUAUUUUGAACCGCAUGGUUCAAAAGUGAAAGACGGUCUUGCUGUCACUUAUAGAUGGAUCCGCGCUGCAUUAGCUAGUUGGUAAGGUAACGGCUUACCAAGGCAACGAUGCAUAGCCGACCGGAGAGGGUGAUCGGCCACACUGGAACUGAGACACGGUCCAGACGCCUACGGGAGGCAGCAGUAGGGAAUCUUCCGCAAUGGGCGAAAGCCUGACGGAGCAACGCCGCGUGAGUGAUGAAGGUCUUCGGAUCGUAAAACUCUGUUAUUAGGGAAGAACAUAUGUGUAAGUAACUGUGCACAUCUUGACGGUACCUAAUCAGAAAGCCACGGCUAACUACGUG
This 497-nucleotide ribosomal RNA is filed under the name uncultured bacterium. Its description in RNAcentral is "partial 16S ribosomal RNA". It matches the Rfam family "Bacterial small subunit ribosomal RNA", at positions 28 to 507 of the family's 1533-position model. The record is from RNAcentral.